RNAcentral lists this small RNA (170 nucleotides) under Castor canadensis (American beaver). RNAcentral's name for it is "TUC338 (ENSCCNG00000005484.1)". The record is from RNAcentral. Lineage: Eukaryota; Metazoa; Chordata; Mammalia; Rodentia; Castoridae.
CUGACAGCCCCCAGGCUCUGGGCCUGCAUUGAUCCACUGUGCACGCAGAGCACAGACAGGACAGUGUAAGUCUCUCUCUACCCACAGUGUGUCACAGCCCAAAUGUGGGGGAUCAGCUCCAAGGGUACAGGAAGGCAGCCCAGCUCCCAUAUCCCCAGUCCUUGCUUUCU